AAGGUGAAUGUUAACAAAGCUUCCAAAUUGUUAGUGUUUCAAGAUGGUUGUAAUCUUCAAAAACUAGGGUAUCAUCCAUUUUUGGUUGGUUAGAAGCUUUUAAAUGUUUGCCUCAAUUAAGUUAGGACAUUAUUAGUAGAAGAAGAUUAUAUCUGUUUGUUUAGGAUAGUAUCUUGCAUGUUAGUGAAGCAGACUUUGGUGAGUUGCAUAAUCAUAAUACACCCUUUCUACAAAUGGAAGAUGCAUAAGGACAUACCCUGCCACAAACAUUAGAUGUGCAAUUGACUCUCUCCUUUUGAUUUAUCUUGGAUGAAACUGGAUGUUGUCCAUGACACCACUUGACAGAUGUUAAUGUUAUUGCUGGUAUAUACAUGGCAGAUAAUCUGAUAUUUAAGAUGUGGUGUGCAAAUGUUCAACAUGACCGUAAAACUUUAAAUCAGAGAAACCCUAGUGGUGGAUGUUAUAAAUUAAAGGUCUAGCCUUUCAUUGGUCACUUUCUGGAGUAAGAUCUAAUUGGAGGAUGCUAUGGAAGCAUAUAGAACAAAAACGUCAGUUUCCUCUUUUGUCCUUUUAAGGGGAAAUGAUGUAACUUCCUAUUUUUUGUCGUCUACCGGAGUAUAUUGCUAGCUUAGCCUAUUAUAUACUUUUCACCUGCGCUGAGGUUUUCAAGUGCUGCUCAUUGUUGCUUAUUGAUACCACAUUGUCUUUUGCUCUAUUAGGAAUGGAGUUAUCUGCGUGGAGGACUGACAACGCUCGAUCGGGAUUAUGGAUUGAUCAACAAUAUCCAUCAUGACAUUGGAACUCAUGUCAUCCAUCACCUUUUCCCUCAAAUCCCGCAUUACCAUCUCAUUGAGGCGGUAAGAGUCUGCCCCACCCUAUUCUUGCUUCCCUUUCUUAAGUUUCUUUCACUAGACCAUAAGUCAUGUUGUUUUUGGAUCACCUGCAGACUGAGGCAGCAAAGCCAGUGCUUGGCAAAUACUACAAAGAACCAAAGAAGUCGGGUCCUCUCCCGUUGCAUCUAUUUGGGGUGCUAGCGGAAAGCUUAAAGCAAGAUCACUAUGUUAGCGAUACCGGAGAUGUACUCUACUAUCAAACUGACAAGAAAAUGACAUAAACCAUAGCAAGUAGCGAAUUCUUCAUUCUUCUCAGGGGGGCUGUGCCUGAAGACUUGACCACCUUCCUGGGAUUUCUGAUUGGUGUGCCUGAGUCCAUUGAUAUGUCGAUUCAAGAAUGUAAGUUGGCAAAGUAUUAUCAUGUAAAAGGGGGUAAAUGUAGUUCUUUCCAAUGAUGGAAAACGGAGGCCGCCUCCGAUGUAACAAACAUGCAAUUCUUUGGACAAGAGGUAUAUUUUAUAGUAAAGAGCGAAAAAAGAGCUUAGUUACCUGAAGGCUUUCUGAGUUUCUGUAUAUACUCCCACUUAUGUACAAGGGCUACUGUGCCUAGCUUCAGCUGUCCUGAGUGCGACACGAGCCUGAUCAUAUAAUAGCGAGGCGCCUUCUUUGGC
This 1504-nucleotide long non-coding RNA is filed under the name Setaria italica (foxtail millet). RNAcentral describes it as "long non-coding RNA (SITA_LNC007253)". The record is from RNAcentral. Lineage: Eukaryota; Viridiplantae; Streptophyta; Magnoliopsida; Poales; Poaceae.